UACGUAGGGGGCGAGCGUUGUCCGGAUUUAUUGGGCGUAAAGAGCGUGUAGGCGGCCAGAUAGGUCAGCUGUGAAAACUCGAGGCUCAACCUCGAGAUGUCGGCUGAAACCAUCUGGCUAGAGUCCGGAAGAGGAGAAUGGAAUUCCCGGUGUAGCGGUGAAAUGCGCAGAUAUCGGGAAGAACACCCGUGGCGAAGGCGGUUCUCUGGGACGGUACUGACGCUGAGGUGCGAAAGCCAGGGUAGCGAACGGG
RNAcentral lists this ribosomal RNA (253 nucleotides) under uncultured bacterium. RNAcentral describes it as "partial 16S ribosomal RNA". It matches the Rfam family "Bacterial small subunit ribosomal RNA", at positions 524 to 776 of the family's 1533-position model. The record is from RNAcentral.